Long non-coding RNA from Acipenser ruthenus (sterlet), 1667 nucleotides. RefSeq lists it as uncharacterized. The transcript is spliced from 4 exons. NCBI's taxonomy places the organism in Eukaryota, Metazoa, Chordata, Actinopteri, Acipenseriformes, Acipenseridae. The record is from RefSeq and is a predicted model, not a curated record.
AGCCUGCUGUAAACACUCACAAGCCCCCCUCUGCUGCUGUGCAGAGCUGGGAGGGUAUAUAAGGACAGCACUGCUUUAGUCAUCGAUUGUCAUUCGGUUGGAGUGAAAGACUGGUUAACUGCAUUUGAAUUUUCAGGAUUUGCCCGGUUGGUGAAGGAAGAAAACGGAGAUGAAAAACCUCGUGCCCUCGAUUCUCAUCCUGUCUGCCGUGAUCUUGCUGGAGUUUCCACAGAUACAAUGUUUUAAGGCUCCGAUAACGAUGGACCUCGCAGAAAAUUCCCUCGAUGAUCAAUAUGUCCGUUGCGAAAGAAAAAUGUUAAAACUUGUUAAGGAAAAAUAUCUUCCAUCAGAAUUACAAAACACCCCCAAUUUUAAAAACGUCUGGGAAACAGCAAAAAAGUCAAUGGUGAAAAAAAAGAGGAUGGCGUUGAAUUUGGAACAAGCCACGUCAAUCUAUGCUUAUACUAUGGACGUUUACAACACGUUCAAUGAAGAAGUUAGAAAAGGAGGAAAACAUUACGAAGCUUUUCCGUUCAAGUCGUUGCAUUUUUAUUUGACAGACGCCCUGAAAACUCUGAGGUCCAAGAAGGGUAAAUGUUAUGAUGUUUUUAGAGGGGUUCAAGGCCAGUUUGCCGCUCUUGAAGGUACAACUGUACGAUUUGGUCAGUUUGCUUCUACCUCUCUAGACAAAAAUGUAGCAAAACAGUUUGGAAACGGAACUUUGUUCAUAAUACACACCUGCCUCGGCGUGCCAAUUGAAGAAUAUUCAGAUAACCAAAGUGAAAAAGAGGUACUUAUUCCACCUUUUGAAAAAUUUAAAGUGCUGAAAGUCGAUGGAAAUCAAAUCCACCUGGCACGUAUUGCUAACAAGACGAGUAAUUUCAACUGCUUGGGAGUGCCGAAAAAAUGCUCCUGUCGUGAAGGAUUAUGUUGCAUUAGUUAACAAGUCUCCCUGAAGAUGCAAAACUCAACGCUGGGAAAAUGCUGGGUGUCUGAUCAAUUGUUCUAUAUUAUUUUUAGUAUAGACCAGUGUACCUUCCUUGAGAAUUAUAUUGUCUCACUCACAUUGUACAUUUGUUUGGGGCUGCUUUAAUUAGGUAUCUUAAACAACCUCUAAAAAGUCUCCUUCAUUUUACCAUUUGUGGCUGUGUGUUCUUUUUCUCUACCUAUUUGAAUUGAAUUGCAUGUGUGGCAUAUUAAAGUCAUCAAUAAUAUUAGACAGUCAAUGACUUGCCUGUUUUGACAAUUUUCCAGGGCUUUCAGUUCCAGUGGUUUGAUUUCAUAUGCACAACAAAUCAAAACUACAGAAGCAACGGGGUUCUCUGAUAAAUUUGCACACUGCUGUAUAUAGAUUGUAAGCUGUUAACAUCAGAUUAAACUGGCAAUGGAAGACUUUACAACCCACAAGCAACAUUAUCACUGGCGGACCCUUUAAAGGGUUGCUAACCAAGGUUUUAAAAUGUAUUCCCUAUUAUUAUCCCCUGUCUUAUUUGGUCGCUUUCACUCAUGUGAAUAAACUAGGCAUUGCAUGAACACUGGUGAAGUAUUCCCACCUGUAUUAACAUGGUAAUGUAGAGGGAGGUCAAGACUGAUGCACGCCCCUGUGUGUCACCAAAAAACAUGAAUGUAAAUGUGAUCCAUCUCACUCUCCUCUAUCUGAGUGUCAU